GACGAACGCUGGCGGCGUGCCUAAUACAUGCAAGUAGAACGCUGAAGGAGGAGCUUGCUCUUCUGGAUGAGUUGCGAACGGGUGAGUAACGCGUAGGUAACCUGCCUGGUAGCGGGGGAUAACUAUUGGAAACGAUAGCUAAUACCGCAUAAGAGUAGAUGUUGCAUGACAUUUACUUAAAAGGUGCAAUUGCAUCACUACCAGAUGGACCUGCGUUGUAUUAGCUAGUUGGUGGGGUAACGGCUUACCAAGGCGACGAUACAUAGCCGACCUGAGAGGGUGAUCGGCCACACUGGGACUGAGACACGGCCCAGACUCCUACGGGAGGCAGCAGUAGGGAAUCUUCGGCAAUAGACGGAAGUCUGACCGAGCAACGCCGCGUGAGUGAAGAAGGUUUUCGGAUCGUAAAGCUCUGUUGUAAGAGAAGAACGAGUGUGAGAGUGGAAAGUUCACACUGUGACGGUAUCUUACCAGAAAGGGACGGCUAACUACGUG
This 495-nucleotide ribosomal RNA is filed under the name uncultured bacterium. RNAcentral describes it as "partial 16S ribosomal RNA". It matches the Rfam family "Bacterial small subunit ribosomal RNA", at positions 28 to 507 of the family's 1533-position model. The record is from RNAcentral.